ACUUGGUGGAGGGUUGUAGAAUGUUUUCCGACCUAACAAGUUCGAAAACUAGAAUUCUGGACAAGUCCUGAGAGUUUUUACUCUCGGGGACCGGUCCCUGAAAGGAGAGACCGGUCCCCCAGUGAGCAGUGUUGCGGCAGCCUUGAGGCAACCGGUCCCUGGCAGGCGAGACCGGUCCCCGAGCGCGCCUACGCAGUGAGAGACCGGUCCCGCGCAGGGAGAGACCGGUUCCCGAACAUUGAUUUUUCGGGUUCGCAGCGAGAGACCGGUCCUUACUGGGGAGAGACCGGUCCCUUUGGGCGAAAACUGCUCAGUUCGGGCUGAUGUAAAUUUGAGUUUUUGAGGGGCCUCCCCGGAUUUUGUUACACUAGAUGGGCUUAUUAGCCAUUUCCCUCUCUUCCCUUCUCAUUUCUCACCCUCACCCUACACCUUCUUGAGAGAGAAGAAGAAGAAGGAGGAGAAGAAG
Molecule: long non-coding RNA, 466 nt
Filed under: Ananas comosus (pineapple)
Lineage: Eukaryota; Viridiplantae; Streptophyta; Magnoliopsida; Poales; Bromeliaceae
Description: long non-coding RNA (ACOM_LNC033252)
Source: RNAcentral